This 460-nucleotide ribosomal RNA is filed under the name uncultured bacterium. RNAcentral describes it as "partial 16S ribosomal RNA". It matches the Rfam family "Bacterial small subunit ribosomal RNA", at positions 338 to 795 of the family's 1533-position model. The record is from RNAcentral.
CCUACGGGCGGCAGCAGUGAGGAAUAUUGGUCAAUGGGCUUACGCCUGAACCAGCCAAGUCGCGUGAGGGAAGACUGCCCUAUGGGUUGUAAACCUCUUUUGUCAGGGAGCAACGCCGGCUACGUGUAGCCGGUCUGAGAGUACCUGAAGAAAAAGCAUCGGCUAACUCCGUGCCAGCAGCCGCGGUAAUACGGGGGAUGCGAGCGUUAUCCGGAUUUAUUGGGUUUAAAGGGUGUGUGGGCGGAAUGCCAAGUCAGCGGGAAAAUAGCGGGGCUCAACCUCUCUCCGCCGUUGAAACUGGCGUUCUUGAGUGGGCGAGAAGUAUGCGGAAGGCGUGGUGUAGCGGUGAAAUGCAUAGAUAUCACGCAGAACUCCGAUUGCGAAGGCAGCAUACCGGCGCCCAACUGACGCUGAAGCACGAAAGCGUGGGUAUCGAACAGGAUUAGAUACCCUGGUAGUC